This 51-nucleotide transfer RNA is filed under the name Lucidina sp. FM13. Its description in RNAcentral is "tRNA-Asp". Lineage: Eukaryota; Metazoa; Arthropoda; Insecta; Coleoptera; Lampyridae. The record is from RNAcentral.
AAAAAUUUAGUUAAUUAAUAACAUUAAUUUGUCAAAUUAAAAUAAUUUUUU